CGCCGUUCUAGGAAGUCGCCACGUCCUCUAAUUCCCAAGGUAUUAGCUAAGGCGCGGACAACGACAGGGGUCAAAGGUCUUGAUACGUCUUGUCUUUGUACUCGUUACUUUCCUACAGUAACAAUUGUAGAAGUGUACGCACGUUUCCACGUACGGUUCCUCAAACGGCGGCGGCUACGCAUCAGGCCUCUGUCAGCACAGUCACACCCGCUGCCGCAGACUUUCUAACUUCUCUUUCGUACGUGGACACAACCGCUCCUCCGGCAGCAGCACCUACAGCGCCCGCAGCAGCCGCAGAAGACAGCCGCAGCCACGCCCGCAGGAGCCGCGCCCGCAAAGCCACCUCCCGUUGAGACUUCUCGAUGUCCUCCUAACCAGCGGCAAUUAAAACUUCGCCUACACCGACAAAGCC
RNAcentral lists this ribosomal RNA (412 nucleotides) under Triticum aestivum (bread wheat). Its description in RNAcentral is "partial small subunit ribosomal RNA". The record is from RNAcentral. Lineage: Eukaryota; Viridiplantae; Streptophyta; Magnoliopsida; Poales; Poaceae.